CAAAGGUAGGAGAAGGUAGAAAAGUACAUACUAUUAUUAUUUAAAAAUGCAUAAUAUUACAAUAUAAUAAUUAUAUUAUAUUACAUAUUAUUAUUAUUAAAAUCUUUAAGUUGCAUAGAAGGUGAUGUCCAGGUACUGAUACAACAGGAAUGGGAAAGGCUUCUCAGGGUCUGAUGGGAAAGAAAUCAGCAGAGUGUGUUAAACAGAUAAAUGGGACAGAGGAAGAUGUUCUAGGCAGAAAUAUGCCGGAAAUAUUUUGAAGCAGAGUCCUGGCAAAGUGUUUUCAAUGUUGUUGUUAGUAAGGUUUGAAUAACACUGGUGUAUCUUGACCUUGGCUUCGGGCUUUCAAGCAAGUGAAAUUAUGUGCUGGUAUGACCCAUGACUUCAGAGAGGUGUCCCUUUCCUGUGCCUGUGCUAAGGGGCUAGAAAGUCACCCAAUCUGUGUUGCUUGCUCCUUUGAAACGACUCAGUAGUGUAAGAGAUAACUACAUCUGUUUUCAGACAAUAAAACUUGAUAUAAUUCCUUGGGGAAAAUCCUCCCUCAGUGUGUGCAUGUAGAUCAUCUGCACAUUUCACAGGAAAUAUAUGCUGGUCAGCAUAAGUUCUGUAAAUUUAAUAAUAAUAAUUAAAAAUGUAGGCAAAUCUAUUUUAGCUCUGCCUUUUCCUCAGUGAGGACUAAUUGGGAUUUGCAUGUUAUGAAGACUUUUUAAAGAUGUGAGCUGAUAUUUGUGCCAGUUUUGCACGCUGGAGUUCAAAAUCAGAUUGAUUCUUUCUGAGACUGGUAGGUCAGGAUUGUCAAGCCCUUCCUUCCACUUGUCCUUGUUCACUGGAGCUAUUUUCUUGUGAGAGUGGCUCUGUAUUGCAGGGAUCAGAGCAUUCCAUGCACUGCACUACCAUUUCUGCAGGUGCCUGCAGCAAUGAAGGAGCAAGCCUUGGCAAUUCUCCCUGGUAAGAGUCUGUUCUCAUGGGUAAAUGACACAGCCAUGGAAGUGGAGCCUCAGAUUGCUCCUGCAUCUCUGCAGACACACUUGCAGAGAAAAUAUUCUGGUCCUAGGAAAACACCAUUCCCUUCAGCUGACAGGCUCUGCAAUGAAAGCCUGGGGGAGCUGCAAGAAGUGAAAUUCAGAUUGCCUUCAUUUUAUCAAAAUAUUUAUCAAAAUAAAACUACUUUUUUUUCCCCUGCAGAAAAUUCAUGUUUCCAUUGCUAGUUGAUUUUACCCAAUUCAUCCUAAACCAUGCAGAUUUUUUUGGUGAGGUGUUGUUUUUCGUUACAUGCAAAUGCAAUUUCCCCUGAAUAAAAAUUCUCCAUUUGUACUGUACUAUUAUUGUUGGGUUUUUUACCUAACUUGCUAAAUUUAUAAAUGGAAACCUUCAGCAAUGAAUAAACUAUUCUCAGACAAAAAAAAAUACCUAAUGCAAGUGCUGUACUUUUUAUCUCUAUGUUGAGUUUCUCUAUUGAGCUAUACUUGACAAAUACUUGAAUUACUGAGAUGUUGGUUUUUCAAACACCAAAACAAAUUUGCCACUGAUUAUGGCCACCUGGAAAUGUCCUGGAGAAACAUUUUGCUUCACAAGGCUGGAUUUGCUGCUAACAGUACAAACUUAUUUCCUGUUUAUUUGUUGAAAUAACUGUGCUUAUUUCUGUAAAUUUGGACUAGGACUAGUUUAUUUCACAUCACUAAUGGGUAGCUCACAAAAUAGCCAUUAAAAGUUUUCAGAUUAUUAAAAAUACUGAAGGGGAAAUAAAAAUUUAUCACUACAUCAUUAAUUUAACCAUAAUUCUUUACCUUCCUAUAGGCCAAUGUCAACACCUUUAAAGCAAGCUCUGAAGGCAAAGUCAAUGAGUUGUGUUUUGGAAGGUUUCUGAUUUAAUUUAAAUCCAUGCAAAUCCAGUGUAACACCAUUCAAGUGUAUCAAUAAUUGAAAAAACGUUCCACUGAAAUUAGUUUUAUAUGUGGGGGAAAUACUUUUUUUUUUUUUUUUACAAAACUAGUCAUCCUUUAAAAAAGCCCAGCCAAGAAGAACAAUGGUCUGAUUUUCAUGGGAAAUUUUAACAAAAAGUGAUGUAAUAUUACUUCUCUGUAUUCUCAUAUGGUAUAUAAAAUAAUCCUACAGGAAUCUGGAGCUUUUUAAUGACUGGCAACAGCUCCAAUAUCCUUGAUAUGUGUCAUGGCAUGGAUUAUUGCUCAAAUCAAUGCGCAGCAAUUUCCAGUCAAGGGAAACAACUGUCCAUUGGUUUGCUCUGAUACAUUUUCAGAGUAUCCCUACAGCCUCCCAUGGAUGUGCAGCUGCUCAGUUACAGCUUAAUUGCAUGACCCCGUAGGCUGACACCCAAGGAGUGCUCGUGGUAGGUGGUGACAUUCAGAACAAAGCAAAAAAGCAAAUACAGUGAAGACUGCAGUUCACACAGGAAGGGAAAGCAGACCAUGUGAAAAGAAAGAUGUCAUUCUAUCAUACAGUUGUCACACAUGUUCUUGUUUACAAAUCUCUAGGGAGAAAGAAUAAACCAGAAGAGAAGAAAACAACCAGUAUCUUUCUCACCAAAGCUCCUGGAGAAUCUCCUUGUUAAAACCAAGCAAACACCUUUCAGCAAGGCUAGUGUGCUAGACAGCAUCACCAGCCACUGGGGAAAUUGGAAGGCACCUUCAAUCUUCUGGAUAUUCCAUAUUUGGGAAUAUCUACUGCAACAGAAACUGGCCAAAAGCAGCAAUUUUAUGGCAGGUAUUCAGACCUCACCAUACGCUACCAAAUACACCUGGUCCAGGGAAUAAUCCUUUUUGUCACACAUAAUUGUAUUGUGGAGUUACAGGAAAUUGGUUGGACAGAGAAUUUCUACCCAGCUCCCAGCUCUGUCUCCUAUGAUGCUUCAAAUCAGGUUUAAUUAUUCCUUUUUUUUUUUUUUUCCUGGCAGGAUGUUGUGAUGGUUUUAUGCCAAAAGGUUUGAAGAAAACUCACUUUUAAUGCAGCAUUUAUGGCAUGGCUUUUAGAUAUUUUACUGUUUACUUGAAACAAUAUUUGGACAUUUUGUUAUCCACUUUGGAAAACUAUUUUAUAUACAUUUCACAGUACAUCCAUCUUAAGGAAUGUCUUAAAGAAAUUACUGUAACUUAAGGAGCCAACAAACAAUAGAUAUAAAAAUGAUGUGUGCAUAAAUAAGACAAUGGAGAGCUUAGAAAAUAAUUCCAUCAGUCUAUAUCAUCUUUUUCCAGACCAAUGUUUUAAAAGAGCAGCACCUUUUUCUUUGUGACAAGGCUUUUCUCCGUGCCUAAUAAGAUUCUUCUAUGUCCUAGGAGUAACCCAUGCAAUUUGAAGAAACAGGUGAAAGACAAAAAGAUAAUAUAAUGAAAGUCAUAGACUGACAGGGAAAGAAAGAGUCUGUAAAGCAGAGUUGUCAUAUUACCAUAAUUUCUGUCACUGAUCUAAUAUAGAACAUGGUUCUUCAAAAUAUUCACCACAUUUUCAGUACAUGAGCCAAUCCUUCUUUCUUAGGAAAUGUGUUUAUUGCUUGUGUAGUUACUAAGAUUCAAGCACACACUUCAGAUGCUUUCCUAAGUGAGAUUACAGUAGGAAACAGUAGAUUCUAGAGAUCUUGCUUCAAGUGUUUCCACUUCUAAUUAUACCUCCACUCCCUCUCUUCAGAAACCAUUAUUAUUCAGUAAUAAAUUCCUCCAGAGAUUUCUUGGAGGGUUUUUUAAGGAUAAAUGCUAUAGAAGGGCAGAUGUGUGCCAUGUCAGCUGGCUGUAAAAGCAUUGCUGGCAGGAACUGAAGUUUAGAACAAGAACUGCAUCCUCACAUAUCACAGGAGAAGACAACGUUUUUGGUAUCUGGGCAAGUUCAUUUUAAAACUGAGGAAGCUGUUUAUGUAAAAAGCACUAAAAUACUAUAAGUGACCACAAAACACACUUUCUCAAAUUAAACAUUCUGAGCUAGCUUCAGAUUUAAACAAAAUUUCCAACUAUUGCUCUAUGGAAUAUGACAAACUCAGUGGUGCUGACCACUUCCAGUCACCUAAGUGGUGUGGGAAAAACAGAAGGGAUCAGGAUUUCUUUUUCCAGGUGUCACCCCACACCCUAACUUUGCAAACUCUUCAAACUUUUUAAAAUAGAAAUGAUAAUGUGUCUUAUCUAUCUCCUUCUCAUUCUGCAGCUAAACCAGUUUGAUGAUCUUACAUGUUUUGGCUCUUUUCUCCUUGCUUGCAGUGUGGAAGAAUGGGGAUAUGUGGCUUCUUUGGGGCAUGGAAAGAGCUGACAGAAAUGUUUCCUCUCCAGCUUGACAUUAUCCCUAGGAAUAUUCUGUUCCACAUCACCUGAGGGACAAGCUGAGUGUCUCUGAGCCCCCAGGGUUUCUGUCUCCUAUCAAGCACUGAGAGCACAGCUGAAAUUCUGGAGCACAGGCAGCCCCAGACACCCCCACACUGCAGUUUGAGUGCUGCUGCACUUUCCUUGGGCAGGAUUUGGUACCACAAGAGUGCAGAGUCUGGAAGAGAGACCUGAAGUGCUUACAGCAGGCUGCAUUGCUAAACAGCCACUCACAUGCCACGAGCCACUGUCUUGUGUUUCCAGUCAGCUGAAAUUACAAUUCCUGUGCCUGGAACACAAAGGUCUUCAGCACAAGGACAGCAGAACAAUCUCACCAUGUUCUGGUGGGCUUUCCACAAACCACUUGGCAGUAGCUUUAUUCCUUCCUGUGCAAAUGUUCAGGUUAACCUCAGCAAGCAUGAGCUUUGAAUACCUGCUCUGGGAGUCCAUACUACCCAUGGAGAAAAGGAUUUCUAGUUAAAAUUGCACUGUGGGCAGGACACACUCGAUUCCUCUCCCUCUGUGCAUGGGCUAGAGGAGAUGUGGUUUGAACACUUCCAAUUCUGGAAACUUACUUAGGGUCCUCAGUCAGAAAUCAUAAAGCCAGUCCUGAAUGCUGCUAUUGACAAUAAAAUAAAAUAAAAUAAAAUAAAAUAAAAUAAAAUAAAAUAAAAUAAAAUAAAAUAAAAUAAAAUAAAAUAAAAUAAAAUAAAAUAAAAUAAAAUAAAAUAAAAUAAAAUAAAAUAAAAUAAAAUAAAAUAAAAAUCAGGCUGCAUGUACGUGCUGAAACGAAAGUUUGCAGUUCUGUCCAGUGACAGAGAACCAUGAGAACUCUUAUAUCAGUUGCAUUUGGACAAAGCAGAGGAACACUCCUUCCUAGUGAUAGAGAAGACAUUUGUAGCCUCCAUCUGCUGCUGAACACACCAGCCAGGCUUUCAGCCUUUUGCUCUCUGUAGGGAGCUGGUACAAGUCAGUCACCUUGGACUGAGACAGAUCAAAGGUCUCCAAGUCUGGAAUCCUUUCCAGCACCCCUCAGGGACCAGCACUGAGCCAGCCAGGAGUUAACACACAGUGCUUCCAGCAUGUUUGCCAUUCCAGGAAUCCCUUUUCUUUUGCAUGAACACCCAUAAACAUCCACACCUGUACAGUCUGGCUCUGACAUACCCAUUCAGCACUCUGCCUCGUGUUUCCCCAGCCUCUCCCUCAGCUUUUGUGGGCAAAGCACCCUGUGCACCCAGGCGUUCUGCAGAGCCACACUCUGAGCCUGCUGAGCCUGUCAAAACAACUCUGUUGUUGUGGUAGCCAAGAAUAUAGGGUUUUUUCUCCACUGGGAAAGUCUCAGACACACGAGGUGGUUUCUGAGUUUUAAAUUGUACUGGACACAGGAGGUUUUACAGAGGGUCACCCACUACUGAUUAAAGAGAACAGCUUGCCUUCUGUGCUAUAAUUCAAUCCAUUGUUCCUGUACCUCCACUUGCUAGGCCUGUUAUUACCUUUUUCCCAACCCUUUUCUACAACAUCCUUCUCUCUACAGAUCUAAUUCAACUACUUUUGCUAAUGCCAUUAUAUGAUUUUCUUCUGAAUAGGGAAAAUGUUUUGAUUAAAAACCUUGACAUUAUGUUCAGGAUAAUCUACCAACCAGUUUCUCAGAUGACAGCUGAUAGAAGGCAGCAUGUAUCUAAAGAGUUUACAAUCAUAUCCCUGUGUUAUCUUAAUUAAUGCAGUAAGACCUGUGCAUAGAAUUCACUCUCUUCAUAAUAUAUUGACAGCUGACCUCAUUCCUCCAUGGCAUUUUUAAAAUGCAUUUAUUGUGCUGCAGUGUGAAAACUUAUAGAGAAACCCUCUAUUACAGAGGAAAUUCACAUAUUGUAAUAUUUACUUAUAAUAAUUAGUCUCAAGGUGUUCUGAAAGAUACAACCAAAGGAAUAGAAUGAGAGUCCAUGAAGACAACAAUUGAGUGUGCUGCAAAACAUAUGCUUGUGGUAUUUAUCAUGCUUUUCAUGCAUGAAAGGGAAAUAAAGGCCUUCUACAUCAA
Molecule: long non-coding RNA, 6333 nt
Organism: Passer domesticus (house sparrow)
Lineage: Eukaryota; Metazoa; Chordata; Aves; Passeriformes; Passeridae
Exons: 2
Source: RefSeq, a predicted model, not a curated record